AGAGUUUGAUCAUGGCUCAGGACGAACGCUGGCGGCGUGCUUAACACAUGCAAGUCGAACGAGAACGUUCCCUUCGGGGAGCAAGUACAGUGGCGCACGGGUGCGUAACACGUGGAUAACCAACCCUUGAGUGGGGGACAACAUCUCGAAAGGGGUGCUAAUCCCGCAUAAGACCACAGUGGCUGCGGCCACAGGGGUCAAAGACUUCGGUCGCUUGAGGACGGGUCCGCGGCCCAUUAGUUUGUUGGUGGGGUAAUGGCCUACCAAGGCUAUGAUGGGUAGCUGGUCUGAGAGGACGAUCAGCCACACUGGAACUGAGACACGGUCCAGACUCCUACGGGAGGCAGCAGUGAGGAAUAUUGCGCAAUGGGCGAAAGCCUGACGCAGCAACGCCGCGUGGGUGAUGAAGGCCUUCGGGUUGUAAAGCCCUGUCAGGGGGGAAGAUGCCGCAAGGUGACGGUACCCUCAAAGGAAGCACCGGCUAACUCCGUGCCAGCAGCCGCGGUAAUACGGAGGGUGCAAGCGUUGUCCGGAU
RNAcentral lists this ribosomal RNA (535 nucleotides) under uncultured bacterium. RNAcentral's name for it is "bacterial SSU rRNA". It matches the Rfam family "Bacterial small subunit ribosomal RNA", at positions 8 to 550 of the family's 1533-position model. The record is from RNAcentral.